Molecule: small nuclear RNA, 279 nt
Filed under: Cebus imitator (Panamanian white-faced capuchin)
Lineage: Eukaryota; Metazoa; Chordata; Mammalia; Primates; Cebidae
Description: 7SK RNA (ENSCCAG00000011040.1)
Rfam family: 7SK RNA
About the family: 7SK was discovered as an abundant small nuclear RNA in the mid-70s but a possible function has only recently been suggested. Two independent studies have found that 7SK RNA binds the CDK9/cyclin T complex (known as elongation factor P-TEFb). P-TEFb activates transcription by phosphorylating the C-terminal domain of RNA polymerase II.
Source: Rfam by way of RNAcentral
GGGUGUGAGGGCGAUCUGGCUGCGAAUGUGUCAACCCAUUGAUCGCCAGGGUUGAUUCGGCUGAUCUGGCUGGCUAGGCGGGUGUCCCCUUCCUCCCUCACCACUCCAUGUGCGUCCCUCCUGAAGCUGCGCGCUCGGUCGAAGAGGACGACCAUCCCCGAUAGAGGAGGACUGGUCUUCGGUCAAGGGUAUACGAGUAGCUGCACUCCCCUGCUAGAACCUCCAAACAAGUUCUAAAGGGAGCAGGGGUAUGAGCCAGAGUAGCGGAGCAGGUAGUUU